CAGUCGCCGCGGUAAUACGUAGGGUGCGAGCGUUAAUCGGAAUGACUGGGCGUAAAGGGCGCGUAGGCGGUCACGAUAGUCAGAUGUGAAAUUCCUGGGCUUAACCUGGGGACUGCAUUUGAUACUGUGUGGCUUGAGUGUGGAAGAGGGUCGUGGAAUUCCCAGUGUAGAGGUGAAAUUCGUAGAUAUUGGGAAGAACACCGGUGGCGAAGGCGGCGACCUGGUCCAUAACUGACGCUGAGGCGCGAAAGCGUGGGGAGCAAACAGGAUUAGAUACCCCGGUAGUCCCUGUCUCUUAUAC
RNAcentral lists this ribosomal RNA (301 nucleotides) under uncultured bacterium. RNAcentral describes it as "partial 16S ribosomal RNA". It matches the Rfam family "Bacterial small subunit ribosomal RNA", at positions 509 to 807 of the family's 1533-position model. The record is from RNAcentral.